This 403-nucleotide ribosomal RNA is filed under the name uncultured bacterium. RNAcentral's name for it is "partial 16S ribosomal RNA". It matches the Rfam family "Bacterial small subunit ribosomal RNA", at positions 28 to 526 of the family's 1533-position model. The record is from RNAcentral.
GACGAACGCUGGCGGCGUGCCUAAUACAUGCAAGUCGAACGCAGUGGGGACGGGUGAGUAACACGUGGGUAACCUCCCAUCAGAGGGGAUAACACUUGGAAACAGGUGCUAAACCGAUACGGAUGGAGGGCCCGGCGGUGCAUUAGCUAGUUGGGGAGGAAACGGUUCACCAAGGCAACGAUGCAUAGCCGACCUGAGAGGGUGAUCUGCCACACUGGGACUGAGACACGGCCCAGACUCCUACGGGAGGCAGCAGUAGGGAAUCUUCGGCAAUGGACGAAAGUCUGACCGAGCAACGCCGCGUGAGUGAAGAAGGUUUUCGGAUCGUAAAACUCUGUUGUUAGAGAAGCGGUAUCUAACCAGAAAGCCACGGCUAACUACGUGCCAGCAGCCGCGGUAAUAC